Long non-coding RNA from Heterocephalus glaber (naked mole-rat), 2451 nucleotides. Lineage: Eukaryota; Metazoa; Chordata; Mammalia; Rodentia; Bathyergidae. The record is from Ensembl.
AAUGCCACAUUGCGGUAAAAAAAAUGGUUUCUUGACAGAUUUCAAAAAAAUAAUUUCUAGUAUUAGGGAGCUGCUUUAAGUAGUUUAAAUCUGGAUUUUCUCAAUAGAAUACUCCUCAUCUCUGGCUAAAAGUGUCGAAACAAGCAAACAACCCGACUGUAGGCAGAACAGAGUUCCAUUUCAUUGGCUGGGAUGCAAUUUCACCUUCCACUCACUUGUCAUUCCACCUCCAAGAAGACAGACUAUCAUUCCUGAGGCAUGAAUAUUCUCAGGGACAAAGCCAUGCCUCAGUCGCAUGUGUGUGCAGAGGGAGAUGCACCUGUCUAUCCAAGGGUAGAGUUUUGAUCCCUGAACUAUUCAUUGACUACCCUUAUCUCUUCCUCACAGCUAACUGUAAUUCAUCAUUGUAAACAGUAAUGCUGGCUUCUCUCUCAGCUGUUUGUACUUGUAAAUCACUGCAUGACCAAAACAGCCCCACUGAAAAUCAGUUGGUUAAAUUUAAUGGUUCAGUUGGAUGAAUAUUCUUGAUGAAUGUAAUAUGUGCUGUCCUUCACAGAUGACGCCACUAAUGCAUUAGCCGUAGCACAUAUGUAUUUUUAACUUUUUUGACAAAAGUGAGGGAUUCACCCCUUUCUAUCCACAUACUCUUUCCUGUUUUCUUCUUUGAACAGUUGCAUGGAGGGUGGCUGAAUGCUGAGGUAAGAGAAGAAUCAGUAACCUAGGAAAUUACACUUGGUUUAAAUGAAGGACUCACAGCCCUGGCGUCCUGAAUGUAUUCUAAACCAGUGAAGCCAGCUUAGAUGGGUCAUAUAUAUGUUUGGAAAGGCUGACAAUGAUUUAGAAGCCGAAGUUUGGAUUUGGUUUGUGGAUGAGCCCUGGUCCUCUUACAGACCCGAGAAAUUCUGUUGUUUCCAUGUGCUGUUGAUAAGGAGGAAUGAGGAAAGAGAAUUUGGAGAUUCAGCACAAAACCAUUGCUACUACUGAAAAGAAUCCUUUAAAUAUGUCUUAGUAACAGAGGUCAGUAAUGUCAUCAAACAUGAAGGACACAUAUGUAAUGCUUUGUUCGUAGACAUAGAAAUGUGUAAUUGGUUAUGAUAAAUGUUUCUCACUUGAACCUAUGUGUAAGGGUUUUCUUGCUUUUAUUUUUUAAAGUCAGCAAAACUCAUUUUGUCUAUGUCAUCUGUAAGUCAUAAUCAGGACAAAGAUGAAAAGUUGAUCAGUUCAAUCAAAAUUAAGGUGACAUGGCAAUAUUGAUAGCUCGAAUGUGAAUGUUUCAAGUAUUGAACUCUUGUCCCUAUGGGAUAUUUAUUAAAUACACUUAAUAGGACUCUUGCAAAGUAGCCUUAAAAGUGUUGAUGAUUCUAUUACUAAAUAUGAACACAUACUAUUAUUAGAGCCAACUUUACUCACAUCUCAGAUACAGUACAUUUACAUUACUGUAGAGGAUGAAGCGCUAAUUUCUUAUUAGGUGUAUUUUUUUCUUAGAGAACCCUGAAAGCUGCCAGUUUUCUAUUAACCUUGAAUUAUUGAAAUUGUAUUUAUUUAAUUUUAUUGUUUUGACAAAAUUGCACCUUGUGACCAAAGGGCAAAGAUAUGGCUCAUUGCAUUAGGGAUUUAUGUGUUCAAAGAACUAAAUGUUUUCAUAUCCCUUCUUUAUACACUUGGAACAGUUGGUAGGAAGAGAGCCUGUUGGAAAAAUAUGAUUUUCAUAACUAUUUCUCUGCGUGUUUUUAUAUAAAUUAUGUUUUAGAACAGAACAAAAGUGACUUUCAGUUAGGAUAAUGAUAAGGGUGCUGGAAAUGCCCUGCUUUGCUUAUUUGUUUCUGUGGGGGAUUUACUACCAUGACUUAAAAAAUGGCUUCUGCUUCAUACGAAACUCCUAAAUAGCUAUUUUUGAAAUUGAAAUAUUUAAAUUUUGUAAAUCAGCUGUUGCCACUACACAACUUAGGAUGCCAUGCGCUUACAACAUUUUUAUAACAUUCCAUCAUCCCCAUUCCCUUGAAGUCAUGAUUUGCUAAUAAGGGAAGUUACAAAAAUACAGAAUGAAAAAUAAAAAUCUGGAUAUUGGUAGGAAAGGUUUGGGGAGGAAAACUGACCAGAAAUCAGUGUGCAUUGCAGAAUGCAGCCAAUAACUUUUGAUCCUCAGCCCCACUCCCACCCCUACCAGAGUGCUUACCAAAAAUAGUUCACUACUUAAAACUUAGAGUAAAUAUUUUUCUUCAUAUUGUUUUGGCUAUGCAAAUGUUUGUUUUGCUUAAUGUCCUCCCAUUUACACUUUCAGCAAAUGUAGUUGCAGACAAAUGCUUUUCUUUUUCUUUUUCCCUUGGUUUGGGGUAUGUAAAUAGCCUAAAAUGUACAUUGAAUUUCACAUUGUAAAAGUUUUAUUUUAUUCCUUGUAUUAUAUUAUGCAAAAUCCCUGUGUAUAUGAAAGUGCAUAAUAAAUAUAUUUGC